Molecule: non-coding RNA, 134 nt
Organism: Caerostris darwini
Lineage: Eukaryota; Metazoa; Arthropoda; Arachnida; Araneae; Araneidae
Source: the annotation of a GenBank genome assembly
AACGGCCAUACCAUGCUGAAUAUACCGGUUAUAUACCUAUGCUGAAUAUAUCUCGUUAGAUCACCGAAGUCAAGCAUCAUUGGGCACGGUCAGUACUUGGGUGGGUGACCACCUGGGAACACCGCGUGCCGUUG